GGACGGUUAGCUCAGUUGGUUAGAGCGCUACGUUGACAUCGUAGAGGUCACCAGUUCGAAUCUGGUACCAUCCACAA
RNAcentral lists this transfer RNA (77 nucleotides) under Chitinophagaceae bacterium. RNAcentral's name for it is "tRNA-Val". It matches the Rfam family "tRNA". Rfam says of the family: Transfer RNA (tRNA) molecules are approximately 80 nucleotides in length. Lineage: Bacteria; Pseudomonadati; Bacteroidota; Chitinophagia; Chitinophagales; Chitinophagaceae. The record is from RNAcentral.